This 402-nucleotide ribosomal RNA is filed under the name uncultured bacterium. Its description in RNAcentral is "bacterial SSU rRNA". It matches the Rfam family "Bacterial small subunit ribosomal RNA", at positions 28 to 417 of the family's 1533-position model. The record is from RNAcentral.
GACGAACGCUGGCGGCGUGCUUAACACAUGCAAGUCGAGCGGUAAGGCCCUUUCGGGGUACGACGAGCGGCGAACGGGUAGGAGUAACAACGUGGGUGGACCUCGCCCUCCAGCUCUGGGAGUAAAGCCUCGGGAAACCGGGGUACCGUAAUAACCGGAUAUGACUCCAUGACGCAUGUUGUGGGGUGGAAAGCCUUGUGCGGCUGAGGAUGGGCCCGCGGCCUAUCAGCUUGUUGGUGGGGUGAUGGCCUACCAAGGCGACGACGGGUAGCCGGCCUGAGAGGGCGACCGGCCACACUGGGACUGAGACACGGCCCAGACUUCUACGGGAGGCAGCAGUGGGGAAUCUUGCGCAAUGGGCGAAAGCCUGACGCAGCGACGCCGCGUGAGGGAUGACGGCCU